UACUAAGUCCAGCAUUCCGUCUGUGUUAUAUCUGUUGCUACAGAAAUCCUGUUAACUCAGCAGGAAAAAAGUUAACAUUUCGCCUAAGGUAUAUAACAGUUUAGACGGAUUUUUUUCUUUUUUCCAUGUCCGCCUUAAUUCCGUCUAAAAGUCUAGAUUUUUAAGCGGAUUCCGCCUGGGUUCCUGCUAAUUUUAAGCGGAAUCCCCCUAAAAUUCUCAUACGGG
Molecule: long non-coding RNA, 225 nt
Filed under: Mytilus galloprovincialis (Mediterranean mussel)
Lineage: Eukaryota; Metazoa; Mollusca; Bivalvia; Mytilida; Mytilidae
Source: RNAcentral